RNAcentral lists this ribosomal RNA (537 nucleotides) under Salmonella enterica subsp. enterica serovar Mbandaka. Its description in RNAcentral is "bacterial SSU rRNA". It matches the Rfam family "Bacterial small subunit ribosomal RNA", at positions 1008 to 1533 of the family's 1533-position model. Lineage: Bacteria; Pseudomonadati; Pseudomonadota; Gammaproteobacteria; Enterobacterales; Enterobacteriaceae. The record is from RNAcentral.
GAGAAUGUGCCUUCGGGAACCGUGAGACAGGUGCUGCAUGGCUGUCGUCAGCUCGUGUUGUGAAAUGUUGGGUUAAGUCCCGCAACGAGCGCAACCCUUAUCCUUUGUUGCCAGCGAUUAGGUCGGGAACUCAAAGGAGACUGCCAGUGAUAAACUGGAGGAAGGUGGGGAUGACGUCAAGUCAUCAUGGCCCUUACGACCAGGGCUACACACGUGCUACAAUGGCGCAUACAAAGAGAAGCGACCUCGCGAGAGCAAGCGGACCUCAUAAAGUGCGUCGUAGUCCGGAUUGGAGUCUGCAACUCGACUCCAUGAAGUCGGAAUCGCUAGUAAUCGUGGAUCAGAAUGCCACGGUGAAUACGUUCCCGGGCCUUGUACACACCGCCCGUCACACCAUGGGAGUGGGUUGCAAAAGAAGUAGGUAGCUUAACCUUCGGGAGGGCGCUUACCACUUUGUGAUUCAUGACUGGGGUGAAGUCGUAACAAGGUAACCGUAGGGGAACCUGCGGUUGGAUCACCUCCUUACCUUAAAGAAGC